This 645-nucleotide ribosomal RNA is filed under the name Staphylococcus aureus. RNAcentral's name for it is "bacterial SSU rRNA". It matches the Rfam family "Bacterial small subunit ribosomal RNA", at positions 897 to 1533 of the family's 1533-position model. Lineage: Bacteria; Bacillati; Bacillota; Bacilli; Caryophanales; Staphylococcaceae. The record is from RNAcentral. RNAcentral also lists the same sequence under 1 other name.
AAACUCAAAGGAAUUGACGGGGACCCGCACAAGCGGUGGAGCAUGUGGUUUAAUUCGAAGCAACGCGAAGAACCUUACCAAAUCUUGACAUCCUUUGACAACUCUAGAGAUAGAGCCUUCCCCUUCGGGGGACAAAGUGACAGGUGGUGCAUGGUUGUCGUCAGCUCGUGUCGUGAGAUGUUGGGUUAAGUCCCGCAACGAGCGCAACCCUUAAGCUUAGUUGCCAUCAUUAAGUUGGGCACUCUAAGUUGACUGCCGGUGACAAACCGGAGGAAGGUGGGGAUGACGUCAAAUCAUCAUGCCCCUUAUGAUUUGGGCUACACACGUGCUACAAUGGACAAUACAAAGGGCAGCGAAACCGCGAGGUCAAGCAAAUCCCAUAAAGUUGUUCUCAGUUCGGAUUGUAGUCUGCAACUCGACUACAUGAAGCUGGAAUCGCUAGUAAUCGUAGAUCAGCAUGCUACGGUGAAUACGUUCCCGGGUCUUGUACACACCGCCCGUCACACCACGAGAGUUUGUAACACCCGAAGCCGGUGGAGUAACCUUUUAGGAGCUAGCCGUCGAAGGUGGGACAAAUGAUUGGGGUGAAGUCGUAACAAGGUAGCCGUAUCGGAAGGUGCGGCUGGAUCACCUCCUUUCUAAGGA